AGAGUUUGAUCCUGGCUCAGAUUGAACGCUGGCGGCAAGCCUCAUACAUGCAAGUCGAGCGAGAACGUUACUUCGGUAGCUAGUAAAGCGGCGGACGGGUGAGUAACGCGUAGGAAUCUACCUUUCAGCGGGGGAUAGCUCGGGGAAACCCGAAUUAAUACCGCAUACACCCUAAGGGGGAAAGAGGGCCUAUCCUUGGAAGCUCUCGCUGUUAGAUGAGCCUGCGUGAGAUUAGUUUGUUGGUGGGGUAAUGGCCUACCAAGACUACGAUCUCUAGCUGGUCUGAGAGGACGAUCAGCCACACUGGGACUGAGACACGGCCCAGACUCCUACGGGAGGCAGCAGUAGGGAAUAUUGGACAAUGGGGGCAACCCUGAUCCAGCUAUGCCGCGUGUGUGAAGAAGGCUCUAGGGUUGUAAAGCACUUUAGGUAAGGACGAAAAGAAUAUAGUUAAUACCUAUAUUCCGUGACUUAACUUACAGAAUAAGGACCGGCUAACUCCGUGCCAGCAGCCGCGGUAAUACGGAGGGUCCAAGCGUUAAUCGGAAUUACUGGGCGUAAAGCGCGCGUAGGCGGUUUGUCAAGUUGGAUGUGAAAUCCCUGGGCUCAACCUAGGAACUGCAUUCAAAACUUAUAGACUAGAGUACGAUAGAGGAGAGUAGAAUUCCUGGUGUAGCGGUGAAAUGCGUAGAUAUCAGGAGGAAUACCAAUGGCGAAGGCAACUCUCUGGAUCGACACUGACGCUGAGGUGCGAAAGCGUGGGUAGCAAACAGGAUUAGAUACCCUGGUAGUCCACGCCGUAAACGAUGAGAACUAGCCGUUGGAUCUUAGAUUCAGUGGUACAGCUAACGCAUUAAGUUCUCC
RNAcentral lists this ribosomal RNA (864 nucleotides) under uncultured bacterium. RNAcentral describes it as "bacterial SSU rRNA". It matches the Rfam family "Bacterial small subunit ribosomal RNA", at positions 8 to 870 of the family's 1533-position model. The record is from RNAcentral.